AAAACUGCAACUCUUCUAGCUAAAUCUGUACAAUCUUUCUUGAAUUUCCCACAAAAUCCAGCAAUUGAGAUCUGUGACACUUCAUGGAUUAGCCGGAGUGGAGUGUUAAUAGGGUGGUCUCUGGUACCGGUGGUGGCUUCUCCGCCGUCCAUGGUGGUUGUUGGUUUGUGGGGGGUGGGGGUGGGGCACUGCAACCACAGUGCAGUUUGUUGCAAAAAGGGACUUAUGAGGCUUGAGUUAAAAGAGUUGGGAGCUGAUUUUUAAAUUAUUUAAAUAUUGAAGAGGAGGAAAGAAAUUGUUUGGAGUGAGGAAAGUAGGAAACUAUAGGGUAAUUUAAUUUUGGUGCAGAAUUGUUAUAUUUAUUUGGGGAUAUUCGUAUUGAAACAUUGAUUUUGUUAAAUGGCAUUUGAAUAUUUA
This 417-nucleotide long non-coding RNA is filed under the name Nicotiana benthamiana. Its description in RNAcentral is "long non-coding RNA (NBEN_LNC002963)". The record is from RNAcentral. Lineage: Eukaryota; Viridiplantae; Streptophyta; Magnoliopsida; Solanales; Solanaceae.